This 473-nucleotide ribosomal RNA is filed under the name uncultured bacterium. RNAcentral describes it as "bacterial SSU rRNA". It matches the Rfam family "Bacterial small subunit ribosomal RNA", at positions 894 to 1392 of the family's 1533-position model. The record is from RNAcentral.
GCUUAACGCGAAGAACCUUACCGGGUCUUGUACACACCGAGGGGCACGGGGGUAACGCGAAGAACCUUACCCAGACUUGACAUCCUUGGAAGGCCUCCGAAAGGAGACUGUGCCUUCGGGAACCAAGUGACAGGUGUUGCAUGGCCGUCGUCAGCUCGUGUCGUGAGAUGUUUGGUUAAGUCCAUCAACGAGCGCAACCCUUAUAGUUAGUUGUAUUUCUCUAGCUAGACUGCCCUGGUAACAGGGAGGAAGGAGGGGAUGAUGUCAGGUCAGUAUUUCCCUUACGUCUGGGGCUACAAACACGCUACAAUGGCCGGUACAAAGGGCAGCCAAGUCGCGAGACGGAGCGAAUCCCAUCAAAGCCGGUCUCAGUUCGGAUAGCAGGCUGAAACUCGCCUGCUUGAAGCUGGAAUCGCUAGUAACGGUAGGUCAGCACACUACCGUGAAUACGUUCCCGGGUCUUGUACACACCG